Ribosomal RNA from Erinaceus europaeus (western European hedgehog), 133 nucleotides. The record is from Ensembl. Lineage: Eukaryota; Metazoa; Chordata; Mammalia; Eulipotyphla; Erinaceidae.
CUCUACGACCAUACCAACCUGAACACGCCCGAUCUCGUCUGAUCUUGGAAGCUAAGCAGGGUCGGGCCUGGUUAGUACUUGGAUGGGAGAAGAGGAGCCUCAACUCAGUAGCAGGGGCUGGAGGAUGUGGAGG